AGGGCCCCGCCCUCGCGGCGUCUGCGCUUGAGCGCCGAUAAUUUGGUGGCGGCGUCCGGAGGGUGCUGGUCUGUGUUCGGUGAGCGGCGCGCUGGGUCUGUCCUGAGUGCGGGCUACGGCACCUUCGCCAUGCCGGGGAUGGUACUCUUCGGCCGGCGCUGGGCCAUCGCCAGCGACGACUUGGUCUUCCCAGGGUUCUUCGAGCUGGUCGUGCGAGUGCUGUGGUGGAUUGGCAUUCUGACGUUGUAUCUCAUGCACAGAGGGAAGCUGGACUGUGCUGGUGGAGCCUUGCUCAGCAGUUACUUGAUCGUCCUCAUGAUUCUCCUGGCAGUUGUCAUAUGUACUGUGUCAGCCAUCAUGUGUGUCAGCAUGAGAGUUUUUAAUAUAAUCACAGAGUUGUGCAACCAUCACCACAAUCAAGUUUAUAACAUUUUCUUCAGUCCUAAAAGAAAUCCUGUACUAGGUGGGACACAGUGGCUCACACCUGUAAUCCCAGCACUUUGGGAGGCUGAGGCGGGUGGAUC
RNAcentral lists this small RNA (524 nucleotides) under Pongo abelii (Sumatran orangutan). Its description in RNAcentral is "processed transcript". The record is from RNAcentral. Lineage: Eukaryota; Metazoa; Chordata; Mammalia; Primates; Hominidae.